GGUCAAGCAAAUCCCAUAAAGUUGUUCUCAGUUCGGAUUGUAGUCUGCAACCCGACUAUAUGAAGCUGGAAUCGCUAGUAAUCGUAGAUCAGCAUGCUACGGUGAAUACGUUCCCGGGUCUUGUACACACCGCCCGUCACACCACGAGAGUUUGUAACACCCGAAGCCGGUGGAGUAACCAUUUGGAGCUAGCCGUCGAAGGUGGGACAAAUGAUUGGGGUGAAGUCGUAACAAGGUAGCCGUAUCGGAAGGUGCGGCUGGAUCACCUCCUUUCUAAGGA
RNAcentral lists this ribosomal RNA (280 nucleotides) under Staphylococcus epidermidis NIH04003. RNAcentral describes it as "partial 16S ribosomal RNA". It matches the Rfam family "Bacterial small subunit ribosomal RNA", at positions 1261 to 1533 of the family's 1533-position model. The record is from RNAcentral. Lineage: Bacteria; Bacillati; Bacillota; Bacilli; Caryophanales; Staphylococcaceae.